GACGAACGCUGGCGGCGUGCCUAAUACAUGCAAGUCGAACGAGAGCGACCGGUGCUUGCACUGGUCAAUCUAGUGGCGAACGGGUGAGUAACACGUGGGUAACCUGCCCAUCAGAGGGGGAUAACAUUCGGAAACGGAUGCUAAAACCGCAUAGGUCUUCGAACCGCAUGGUUUGAAGAGGAAAAGAGGCGCAAGCUUCUGCUGAUGGAUGGACCCGCGGUGCAUUAGCUAGUUGGUGAGGUAACGGCUCACCAAGGCCGUGAUGCAUAGCCGACCUGAGAGGGUGAUCGGCCACAUUGGGACUGAGACACGGCCCAAACUCCUACGGGAGGCAGCAGUAGGGAAUCUUCCGCAAUGGACGCAAGUCUGACGGAGCAACGCCGCGUGAGUGAAGAAGGUGUUCGGAUCGUAAAACUCUGUUGUUAGAGAAGAAUAAGUGCUAGAGUAACUGUUAGCGCCUUGACGGUAGCUAACCAGAAAGCCACGGCUAACUACGUG
RNAcentral lists this ribosomal RNA (498 nucleotides) under uncultured bacterium. Its description in RNAcentral is "partial 16S ribosomal RNA". It matches the Rfam family "Bacterial small subunit ribosomal RNA", at positions 28 to 507 of the family's 1533-position model. The record is from RNAcentral.